Long non-coding RNA from Sinocyclocheilus grahami, 351 nucleotides. RefSeq lists it as uncharacterized. The record is from RefSeq and is a predicted model, not a curated record. The transcript is spliced from 4 exons. NCBI's taxonomy places the organism in Eukaryota, Metazoa, Chordata, Actinopteri, Cypriniformes, Cyprinidae.
AGGACUGAGACAGAAAAUGUUGGAUUUGAAUUGAAAGAGAAAAUGAAGGUUUUCCACAGAGCACAGACAAUAGCACGGGAGAGAGCGAUCCGGAAAUCAAGGCUUGUAAGGAGACUGAAAGAGUUGGAGGUCGCCAGAGAACAGUUAUGUAAAGAUAGAGAGCUGAGUCGGGAACUGAAUUUGUCAGAGUGAGAUGCACUAAAAUCACCCCAGGAAAUGACAGCAGGAAAGAGUGUUGGGCUGAAAGGAAAACAAAUGCAGGCGCCAUAUGCAUUUUUACACUGGUGAACCUAUUGUCUGAUUAGCACCCAAUUUUACUUUUAAAAAAAGUGCAAAAUGCAUGUGAUUUGA